GGGUGAGUAACACGUAGGUGAUCUGCCCAUCAGCACGGGGACAACGAUUGGAAACGAUCGCUAAUACCGGAUAGGACGAAAGUUUAAAGGUGCUYYUGGCACCGCUGAUGGAUGAGCCUGCGGCGCAUUANCUAGUUGGUAGGGUAAAGGCCUACCAAGGCRACGAUGCGUAGCCGACCUGAGAGGGUGAACGGCCACACUGGGACUGAGACACGGCCCAAACUCCUACGGGAGGCAGCAGUAGGGAAUCUUCGGCAAUGGGCGAAAGCCUGACCGAGCAACGCCGCGUGAAUGAUGAAGGCCUUCGGGUUGUAAAAUUCUGUUAUAAGGGAAGAACGACUUUAAUAGGAAAUGGCUAAAGUGUGACGGUACCUUAUGAGAAAGCCACGGCUAACUACGUGCC
RNAcentral lists this ribosomal RNA (403 nucleotides) under uncultured bacterium. RNAcentral describes it as "bacterial SSU rRNA". It matches the Rfam family "Bacterial small subunit ribosomal RNA", at positions 104 to 509 of the family's 1533-position model. The record is from RNAcentral.